UCCAAAACCAAAGCUCUUUCUUCCGGCCAGCCCUCAUACUGCCGGCCAAUUCCGAUGCCCCUUUUGUCCUCCACUUCCACUUGUUGCCUUCUCUUUUCCUCCGCGACAGACUACCCCCAUUGCUUUCUGAAAUUGAAGCCCGACGAAUAAAAUUAGCAUAUCUUUGAUCCGAGGGCCAAAACUGCACAUCAUCUCAAAAUCAGAUCAUGCUCCUCAAUCUCAGAAUUCUUUGGCCCCCUCCAAAGCCGCAUUCCAAAGCAUAUGUCAAAUUAGAAAAGGUCAAUCCCCAGAGACCUGAACAGUUCAACAAUCAUAUCGAGUCACUUUAAACAAAAGACUUUGAACGCUGUUUCUUAACAAAAGAGCACCCAUUUUAAACCCCACGAGAUUGGACAUUAGAGCAGCCAGCAGAAAGAGAGACGAAGAGGCCGGAGAAAAUGCAACCACAAUGGUUCAAAGAAGCCACCCAAGUCUGCCUCCAUGGCUGCUGCCAGAGACCCUUCCUCACUCCGCCGGAGACCCAGAAAACCGUCGGUAAAUCCAGAAGCACAUCGUCGACUUGCAGGCACCACUUCGCCGUGACGACUACUUCCUCCUUCUUCUCCAACACCCAAUUCACCAACCACGAAUCUCUUCCUUCUUUGCAGGAAUCAUUCGCCCAGUUCACGAAAACUUAUCCACGGUACUCUGAAACUUCUCAGAUUGAUCAAAUCCGAGCCAAAGAGUACUGCCACCUCUCCCUCUCCAAACAUGUCUGUCUCGAUUACAUAGGCAUAGGACUCUUCUCAGAUUCACAGUUGCAGAGCCAUUAUUCUUCGGCAAUCCCGGUUGCUUCCUCCUCUUCUCCACCGCCUCAGAAUUCUGAGUUUCCGCUCUUCAGCAUAUCGUACAAGUCCGUGAGUUUCAAGUCGCAGCUACUCCAUGGCGGGGAGGGAUCUGAAUUGGAAUCCAGCAUCAAGAAGAAGAUCAUGGAGUUUCUUAACAUAUCUGAAACUGAUUACGCCAUGGUUUUCACUGCCAACAGAUCGUCGGCGUUCAAGCUUCUGGCCGAGUCUUACCCGUUUCCGUCCAGCCGAAAGCUUCUGACAGUGUACGACUACGAGAGCGAAGCGGUUGACACCAUGGUUAGAACAGCGGAGAAGAGAGGAGCAAGAGUCAUGUCGGCGGAAUUCAAGUGGCCGAGGCUGAGAGUUCACGGGGGGAGAUUGAGGCAGAUUCUGGUGAGGAAGAGGAAGAAGAAGAAGAACAGGGGACUCUUCGUUUUCCCUCUCCAGUCCAGAGUUACAGGAGGAAGUUACUCUUAUCAAUGGAUGAGCCUGGCGCAGGAAAAUGGCUGGCAUGUCUUGCUUGAUGCUUGCGCGCUGGGACCAAAAGAUAUGGACAGCUUCGGCCUUUCUCUUAUCCGCCCCGAUUUUCUCGUUUGUUCCUUCUACAAAGUUUUUGGAGAAAAUCCGAGUGGAUUUGGAUGCCUCUUCGUCAAGAAAUCCACCGUUCCAGUCUUGGAAUCUUCUACGAGCACAGGGAUUGUAAAUUUAGUCCCAACGAGGAAGCUGCUUUCUUUUUCCGAGGAUUCUUCCGAGAUAGAUGUCGAACAGGCUUCCAGAUUGGGGAUUGAAGAAGUUCGGUUACCGGCAUCGAGCUUCUUCUCAGGUCCAAUUCUUGCGGAGAAACAAGAAAAAGAAAAGGAAAUUUCGGAAAAGACCAGCGAGUUGGUCCAGGAGAUUGAAUGCCGGUGCCUGGAUCACAUGAAUUCGCUUGGACUAAUGCUGAUCAGCAGCAGAGCGAGGUUACUGAUCAACUGGCUGGUGAAUGCGAUGAUGAAAUUGCAGCAUCCGAAUGCGGAGGAGAGGAUUCCGCUGGCCAGAAUCUACGGGCCGAAGAUAAAGUUCGACCGAGGACCGGCAUUGGCGUUCAACGUGUACGAUUGGAAAGGGGAAAAGGUGGAGCCGAUUCUAGUUCAGAAGCUCGCUGAUCGGAGAAACAUUUCGCUCAGCUAUGGCUUCCUGCACCACAUCUGGUUCUCGGACAAGCACGAGGAGGAGAGGGAGAGAGUGAUGGAGCCGAGAAAGAGCGGAGAGAAAGAGACGAAGAAGAGAGGAAAAGCGGAUCGGAUUAAAGUGGUUACCAUUGCGCUAGGGUUUCUAGCCAAUUUUGAAGACGUUUACAGGCUUUGGGCCUUUGUGGCUCAGUUCCUGGACGCUGACUUCGUGGAGAAGGAGCGAUGGCGAUACACAGCGCUCAACCAGAAGACGGUCGAAGUCUGAAUCCAUCGUCUUCCUCCGUCCGUUCAUCCAGGCUAGCAAUUACAGAAGGUUGUUGGGGCAUUAUCCUGAGCUAUUUAGCUGGUGCCUUUGGGGUUUCUUAUGGUGUAUGUCCCCCUAUGACGACGAUGAUGCUGAUGACGCUCAUUCUUUAAGGGAACUCCCUCCCCCUAUAAGGAGCAGGUUUCUUCCAAAGACAUGGGUCAACUAGCAGAUGCCAUCAAGAGGAAGAAAGUGUCGAUCGAUGGUUUGGGCAAGCCCCCACCUGCUUGGGGUGAAGGCACUAGCAAGCACCCUAGGCCUUCUCAUUAGACCAUUGCCAUGUCAUCGCCAGCCAAGGGGCAUUCUCCAAGGACUCCACUCCCGCCACCAAUUUCUUCGACCAUACCAACGAACGUUUUGAGCUCUUCAGCAUCUUCCAUUACCAAAGCUUUUCUCUAGUUCGGCUCCCAGCAUUCCUAAUGAGUUGAUGUCGACCCUCCAAGCUCUUCUCAUAAGCGUCCUCAUGGUAUUUGCAGUCGUCGCUAUAGGCCUCUAUCUCCCUUUCGUCAUGACCAUGUACGACUUUCCUUGGAGAGUAGCUGUUACUCGUCUGUUCUUCUGAAAGUUUUGUCAUCGCAUCUACCUAUGCGAUUGGAAGAUGGCCACUUUCUUUGAGGUAAGCAUUUCCAGGUCAGUCUUGGCGUGAUUGAUUCCAAUUCCGUGAAAGAGCCCGAGAUAGGUUCUUACUUUAUUUAUUCCACUGUCCCUUCUCAUGAUGAGAGGGAUAUGUUUAGCAGGAAAUUUCCUGACUACUUGGAUAGCCUAGAACACGAGCUCAUCCGUGUAAGUUCCAUUAUUUUUUUCUUCUUUACUUUAAUACUUGCAUUCUUUUUUUAACUUUCUUCUUUUCUUUUUCUUUCUAAUGGGUGCAAUGCGUGGUGGUAGCCAACGCACAUUCUCAUUUCCAUCACGUUUCAUUGAAGAGCAGAUAGCCCGAUGGCAUAGAGACUGAGCUAGGUCGGAUGCCUAGUUUAAAAGUGCUGACUAGUCUAUUAUCAAGGUUCGCAAGGAGUGCAAUUCCUUGCGUCGGUCCUGCCAAGAGUUCCAGGGACAUGCAAUACCCUAUGUUUUCAUGAGGUUGCCAUAUAAUUAAGGUUAGUUUGAAAUACCGAAAAAUGGGCUUGUAAAGGCAACAAGUGAUCGAAUCAGCUGUAGAGAGUGCCCUGGAGCUUAGAUACCUAAGGUAAAAUGUAUGAAAUUGACGAGCAUCUCGAGAUGAGAUUUAUGACUCUGAAAGAAAUCAAAUCAGAUAUGAUUUUUGGUACAACUAAGUUAUAGCCUGAAAAAUUGAAUAAUGGAAAGAGACUUCCAAGAAAUUCACGAAACCUUAAGGAGACUCUAAUUUUGUAGUUAGAACAACCCUUAAGUGGUUUCAAAAUGAAACAAAAGGGUUUUGCGAUCGAAACAUGAAUUUGGGGCCUAAGUGUAAUUUUCAAUUCUAAUUAAAAAAUGGGCGAAAUGAUAUUUUUUCCAAUUUGGGGAACCAAAUGUUGAGGGUGAAUCUUAUGGGUUCAAAUGGUCAAAUAUCGAAGACUAAGGACUUCAAAUAAGGGCUCAAAAUGAAAUUUGAAAAUGAUAUGACGUCAAAGUGCGAAUUCUAAAAAGCAACCAUGGCCACCGCUGACCAGCCUCCAGCUGUCGUCAGAAAGGUCGCCUCAAGGUCCAUCAUGGGCUUCAAGGCAUGGAGAGUUGAAUUGGGUAGGGUAUGGGCCAAGGAUGGCCGUGAUUUGACGUCGGUAAGGUGGGGUAUGGCCGAGGGUCACCAAAAAUCAGGAAAGGGGUGUUCGUGACAAAUCAUCACAAUUUGAGGCUAUCUAAGGUUGUAUCAGGAAUUAAAAGCUUGGAUUUGACUAUGCAUGGCUUGUUUUAGCUCAAAAAUCGAGUACAAAUAGAGGUUUAAGGAUGACCAAAUACUUCAAAAAUUAAACUCGAGAAUUCGAGUAUUUGAGGAAGAAUUGAGAGAGAAGGAUAAAGGAAAUUUGUUCCCCAUGUGUUGAGGAUCAAUUCUAGAGUUUGUGAAGGGUUUUCAUGUGGUUUUGAGGGAGAUUUAAGGCUUGGCCGAAAAAUGUGUGGGUCGUUGAAGGCGGACUGAAAAUGGCAGUUUCGGGCUACCUUAGUCGAUUGUUUCAAGCCAAGAUUGGUUCCAUGGGGUUCGGAAUGGUCCAUAGGCCAAGAAGGAAGAAAGAAAUCGAGCAUCGGAGCAAGUUGCAGUCGCCAGCGACAAAGUGGUUGUCAGAGGAGAAGAUGCGCUUGGGGUGCACGCGCAAAUCUCACGUGCAGUCCACACGCUAGCGCAUGAGGACUAGUGAAGCACGGGGUAAUUUUGGAAUUUUUUUUAUUAUUUUUCUGAAAUUAUUUUAUGAAUUAUGGUGGAGAAAAAUUUGAAAAAAAAUCUUGAGCAUGUAUUUAUUUUAAAAUUAUCGAGAGAGAAAUAUGAGAAAGUAAGAUAAAAUUAUGUAAAAAUAGAUGAUAUUCUUUUGAAAAAAUAUAAUGGCCUGGGAUCGUUGAGGCUUGAGAUUGAGAAAUAGUACGAUUAUUUAGGCUUGACAUGAAAAUCAAGGUAAUGCAAGCAUACCGAGAAAGUCUAAGAGGCUAAAUCAAUGUGAGUAGUUUUUCCCGAAAACUUAUACAUAUUAUGUUUUGCCUAUGUUGAGUAUGUUAUUCACAAAAAUUGCUAAGUUAUAUGUAAUUUAUGUACAUCUUGGCAUAUUUGUACAUGUAUUGUUGGCAUAUCGAUAAUUGUGAAUGGGAUGAGAUGUUACCCUGAUAGUGUAGUCGUAAUUCUCCAAGGAUAUUAUCGAAAUAAUGUAUAGGAGUAUCAUGUUGCCUUGUGUGCUUGCCGGGAUGACUGCCUAGGGUUCCAUGUCAGGCUGG
Molecule: RNA transcript, 5177 nt
Organism: Diospyros lotus (date-plum)
Lineage: Eukaryota; Viridiplantae; Streptophyta; Magnoliopsida; Ericales; Ebenaceae
Exons: 3
Source: RefSeq, a predicted model, not a curated record